Molecule: ribosomal RNA, 253 nt
Filed under: uncultured bacterium
Lineage: Bacteria
Description: partial 16S ribosomal RNA
Rfam family: Bacterial small subunit ribosomal RNA
Source: RNAcentral
UACGGAGGGUGCGAGCGUUGUCCGGAAUCACUGGGCGUAAAGGGCGCGUAGGCGGCCUGAUAAGUAGGGGGUGAAAUCCUGCGGCUUAACCGCAGGGCUGCCUUCUAAACUGUCAGGCUUGAGCACAGUAGAGGCAGGUGGAAUUCCCGGUGUAGCGGUGGAAUGCGUAGAGAUCGGGAAGAACAUCAGUGGCGAAAGCGGCUUCCUGGUCCAGCACCGACGUUCAGGCACGAAAGCGUGGGGAGCAAACAGG